This 253-nucleotide ribosomal RNA is filed under the name uncultured bacterium. RNAcentral describes it as "partial 16S ribosomal RNA". It matches the Rfam family "Bacterial small subunit ribosomal RNA", at positions 524 to 776 of the family's 1533-position model. The record is from RNAcentral.
UACGGAGGUGGCAAGCGUUGCUCGGAAUCACUGGGCGUAAAGGGUGCGUAGGCGGGUCUUUAAGUCAGGGGUGAAAUCCUGGAGCUCAACUCCAGAACUGCCUUUGAUACUGAAGAUCUUGAGUUCGGGAGAGGUGAGUGGAACUGCGAGUGUAGAGGUGAAAUUCGUAGAUAUUCGCAAGAACACCAGUGGCGAAGGCGGCUCACUGGCCCGAUACUGACGCUGAGGCACGAAAGCGUGGGGAGCAAACAGG